This 525-nucleotide ribosomal RNA is filed under the name uncultured Alphaproteobacteria bacterium. Its description in RNAcentral is "bacterial SSU rRNA". It matches the Rfam family "Bacterial small subunit ribosomal RNA", at positions 173 to 733 of the family's 1533-position model. Lineage: Bacteria; Pseudomonadati; Pseudomonadota; Alphaproteobacteria. The record is from RNAcentral.
AUGAUGUCUUCGGACCAAAGAUUUAUCGGCAAGGGAUGAGCCCGCGUAGGAUUAGGUAGUUGGUGGGGUAAAGGCCUACCAAGCCGACGAUCCUUAGCUGGUCUGAGAGGAUGAUCAGCCACACUGGGACUGAGACACGGCCCAGACUCCUACGGGAGGCAGCAGUGGGGAAUAUUGGACAAUGGGCGCAAGCCUGAUCCAGCAAUGCCGCGUGAGUGAUGAAGGCCUUCGGGUCGUAAAGCUCUUUUACCAGGGAUGAUAAUGACAGUACCUGGAGAAUAAGCUCCGGCCAACUCCGUGCCAGCAGCCGCGGUAAUACGGAGGGAGCUAGCGUUGUUCGGAAUUACUGGGCGUAAAGCGCACGUAGGCGGCGACACAAGUCAGAGGUGAAAGCCCGGGGCUCAACCCCGGAACUGCCUUUGAAACUAGGUUGCUAGAAUCUUGGAGAGGUCAGUGGAAUUCCGAGUGUAGAGGUGAAUUCGUAGAUAUUCGGAAGAACACCAGUGGCGAAGGCGACUGACUGGA